AGAUAUAAGACGGUAAGGAGAUCAAUCGAGUCAAAUAAACGCAAUAAUUUGCAAUAGUAUUGUCUUCCGAAUAUAUUAAUAUUUCAUAGUUUUGUAGCAUGUUAGAUCGAAAUUUCGAGAACUAAAAAUCGGGAGUGCUGAACAAAGUAUCGCGCAUUUUUGUGCGGGAGUGUCGUCAAAAUGUCGCGCGUAUAAAUCAACAAAUUUUGAUAAUGCUGACCAAACUGGAAAUAGGCCCAGGGAGCGUCGUCGUCGAAACAAUUCUGCCAUCAAUCCAACUGAGCAAUCGUGGGAUGAAUUUCAAUGCAGAAAAGCGUUUUCAAAAUGUCCUACGUAUAAAUCAACAAAUUUUGAUAAUUCUGAUCAAAUUGAAAGCAGGAGCAGACUCAGGGGGCAUCAACGUCGAAGCAAUUCUAGAAUCAAUCCACCUGAGCAAUUCUGCGGUAUUCAAAUUUUAAAGGAGA
Molecule: long non-coding RNA, 464 nt
Organism: Nylanderia fulva
Lineage: Eukaryota; Metazoa; Arthropoda; Insecta; Hymenoptera; Formicidae
Source: RefSeq, a predicted model, not a curated record